Molecule: long non-coding RNA, 1154 nt
Organism: Mytilus trossulus (common blue mussel)
Lineage: Eukaryota; Metazoa; Mollusca; Bivalvia; Mytilida; Mytilidae
Exons: 3
Source: RefSeq, a predicted model, not a curated record
AGUACCCAAUCAGACCAGCCCAUUUGAAUUACGACAAAAUUGAACACUUAGCAGCAAGAGUCAAACCACAGCAGAAGAAGAAAGAUGGCUGAACUGUGGAUACAACCAGAUGUAGAGGAAGAGGAAGAUUUUAUUUUUUUCAAGAAAAGUAUAGCUGAUUUGGAAGAAGAGUAGGUUUAUAAAUAAUGUUUUGUUUGAUAUUAUUGUACAAUAUUGAAAAAAUAGGAAUAGAGGGAAACUAAAAGGUAAACAAGCAAAUUUAAAGGUGUAGGUUCAUUAAGGCCCCUUUUUGGCCCCAAAAUAUAGUUUUACAAAAUUGUGAAAAUGUUAUCUUUUAGCUAUUGACUGGAAAGUACAAAAACUAAUUGAAUCAAUUGAAAUAGACACUUAAGUGUUUAAAAAGUGUCCAAUAUCUUUCGUUAGAUGAACCUCGGCCCUUACCAGACCUUCUACCUUACAGAUUGCCUUUGUUUCACAUAAACACACUGGAAAAGCUGUAUUUCAAAACUAAAUAAUGAUUUGGUUCCAGAAAAAAACAAAAGCACAUUUAUAUAUAAGACCAUGCCAAAUGAAAAUCUUGUUUGGGAUUCCCUGCUUGUUGAAAAAAGUAAUAAAAAAAAAUAAACUUGCAUACAAUGAUUGUCUAACGCAUUCUGAACUUUUAAUUUAAUUUUUUUAAGUUAAUUGUGCAUUUGACACAGAUCAAGAGCUACAUUUUAACAAUGUCUUCAAGAUUAUCAGUUAUCUGAGCCAACAUAUUACUGCAGGAUAGUUGUUAUACAUUUAGAGUUCUUAUUUACAGUAAUAUGAAAAUGUAUAGGAUAGUCGUUAUACAUUUAGAGUUCUUUUUUACAGUAAUAUGAAAAUGUAUAGGAUAGUCGUUGUACAUUUAGAGUUCUUUUUUACAGUAAUAUGUUUUAUAGUCCGCUAAAAUCAACGUAACAACUAACACAUAAUAUUAACGAUGCAGGCCACAUAUGUGACAGUUUAUGUUUCAAAAUCAAUCUUAUCAAAAGAUACAUGUAUAACAUUUGCAAACACUUCAAUUAAAGGUACCAAUUAUGAAUUUAGAUAAUAUACAGCAGUGUUCUCCCUAGAAAUUUUGGAUAGCAUCACAUUUUGUGUAAAAAAAAUUAACGAUUUCUUUUUAAUGU